Non-coding RNA from Misgurnus anguillicaudatus (oriental weatherfish), 657 nucleotides. The record is from RefSeq and is a predicted model, not a curated record. Lineage: Eukaryota; Metazoa; Chordata; Actinopteri; Cypriniformes; Cobitidae.
UAGAAGGUCCAUGACCACCCUAGCGCCCCCUUAAUUCAAACACUCGGGAAAAUCCGCUCCGUUAGGAAAAUGCCAUCUGUGCUUUAAAAUGAAGGGGUGAGUGGUGGACAUAGCCAUUGGUUGCAAUUCGCAAUCUCACUGCCUGAUCCUGCUAAAAUCUACACAGUGCACCUUUAAGUCUAGUCCCAGACUAAAAGCACAUUUGAGAUAUCCUAAUUUAACUAGGAUCCUGGUUUCAGCUAAGCAUGUCUGUGAAAGCAUGGGUCAUGUUUAAGUGGACUGUAAGUCCUGCAUUUACUGUUUUAAAGCACUCAACUGAUAAAUAAUUGAAUUAUCAUAAACACAAAUGGACACAAUGGUCUGUCUUCUGUUUCUUCUUGUUAAUGGACUAGGAUGGACCAGACCAUCGAUAAUGAUGCCAUUAAAAUAGAGGGCAAUAAGCUGUACUUCUUGAAACUGACAUCUGAUCUCAGUGGUUUGUAUCUCUGUGAAGCCUCUAACCAGUAUGGUACAGCAACUGGCACACUCUACUGGCAGAAAGGAUACCUCCAUUCGGAGCUUUGAUAAUUUCAUCUUGAAUUCACUUUCAUCUUCUCUCAAAGCCAUAUGACAAAUGUUAAAGCACAAUUAAAUUAUAUUACUAUGAGUGAAAAUGAA